UGAGAAAUUUUUCUCAAGGAUGGAAGAUUCUGGUAGCCAUUUUUCUGUUGGGAUUAAGCUUUCCAUACUCACAAGGUUAUAAUGUCAAAUCUAAAGUCUUUUUGUCACCUAAGUUUGUGCUGGGGCCAGGAUCCGUUGAGAAUAAAUUUUACUAUGGGAUUGACUUUCCGAGAGGUCAUAUUGCUCUAAAGAGUUUUAAUGCAGAAGUAAUUGAUGAGGCAGGAAAUCCCGUUCCUCUUCACGAGACUUAUCUCCACCAUUGGGUCGUUGAAAGAUACUAUGGACGUAAAGAUGCAGAAGUACUGGAGUAUAAUGGCAACAGACUUCUUCGUGAAUCAGAUUACAUUGCAGCGAGAAAUGAUGGCAUAUGCCAGAGGAAUUCUCUUGGGCAGUUUUUUGGCCUUGGCUCUGAGACACGAGGAACAGCAACGCAUAUUCCAGAUCCUUAUGGUAUAGAAAUUGGCAAUCCUGCUACAUUUCCUGCAGGCUAUGAAGAGAGAUGGCUUCUUAAUGUCCAUGCAAUUGAUACACGAGGUGUCGAAGAUAGGUUGGGAUGCACCGAAUGCAAGUGCGAUUUGUACAAUGUUACAGUGGAUGAGUAUGGCCAGCCGCUAAAGCCAAAUUACAGAGGUGGUUUAGCGUGUUGUUACGAUGGUACGCAGUGUAGAUUGUCAAACGGUUUUGAAGGUGCCAGGAGGAGCCUCUAUUUGAGAUAUACCGUAAAGUGGGUUGAUUGGGACACUUCCAUUGUGCCUGUUAAAAUCUACAUAUUUGAUGUCACUGACAAGGAAACACGGUUUAGUGAUUCCACUGGAUUCAGCAUACAGCAUCAUUGCCAGGUAAGUGAAACUCUUUUUACAAAACUCUCCAAGCUGAAACAGAAAUGAAUUUUAUUUGGGACGUUCAGUGGAAUAGCCUCGCAUUACUUUCUUCAUCUUUUACGGUUCAUUGAACUAGGUUGUUAUAUAAUCAUUUAAUGCUUGUUUUGGUGCAUUACUGGAAAAAUGGAAUUGAUUCAUUGAUGCAAUGAACACAAAGUUGGAGUCUGCAUAAAGCUAAGCGUAAUUUACUGGAAAAAAUUCUGUGGGCUUAGAGUCCUCUUUAAUGGCAUACUGUUUAAUAUGUGUGUAUGAAAUGACUUGCGUUGAAGAUAUUUUUUGUUUAAUGUGGAGGAGUUUUUAUUAAAUGUGCAUAAAUUUAUAGACAUUCAAAAGCACAUAAGCACCAACACUUACUUCAGCCCCUAAAUUGAUAAUCAAUAGUGAAUACGUUUUGAUUUAUGACUUUCUUGCAACUUUUAGUGACUUAAUUUCUUCACAAAUGUUGACCCAUUGGAAUAUCUGUGAUUGCAGGUUGAAUAUUAUGUUGAGCCCUGUAAAGCCAAUGAUGUGGCUGAUAAUGGGUGUGUCCACACCAAAAGGACCAGUGUCACGAUGCCAACCAGUGGUUACAUCAUCUAUGGCGUUGCCCAUCAGCACUCAGGGGGCAUUGGUGCAGCUCUAUACAGAAAGGUGAUUUCAAUAUCUAAUUUGCAUUCACGUGGCAUGCCUUUUCUUUUGUCUAUGUUCUACUUUCCAUUGUAAUUUUAUCAUUCUUAUCUGCUAGGUUGGUGGUAAACUGGUGAUAUAUGAAGACGUGUACUAGUUCUUGAUCUUUUUAAUUUUCUUGUUAGAUUAUGCUUUGAAAGUUAUUGUUUCUUUAGUCUGCAAAAGAAUUGUCAGAAUUUUUUAAGAUUAUGUAAAUGUUUACAACAUUAAUUAGAUGUUGAGGACAUGUGAGUGUGACAUUAUCAUAUUUCCAAAGUAGACUAUUUUUUAGCUUCUAGCUGCUUGAUUUGUUUGUCAUCCUCAAAGUUUGGAUAACAUUGAUAUUUUAUAUAUAGUGUUAUGGUCCCUGAAAUUGGUUGGAUGUUUUCCCUUUUUCUUUUGAAGAACAAUUCUUCAUUAUUCAUUUUAUGUAAUUUUUUCAGAACCCAGUGUGAUGAUUGUGGAAGGAAUUUGAUUCCCAAUGUCUUCUUCAUUGAUAUGCUUGUUUUUGGUGAAACCAGGAUGGACAACUUAUGUGUUCUUCAAUUCCAGCUUAUGGAAAUGGGAAGGAAGCUGGAAACGAGGCUGGAUAUAUUGUAGGAAUGUCGACUUGUUAUCCUAAACCAGGCUUCCUCAGGAUAACAGAUAAGGAAACUCUGAUUGUGGAAUCUAACUACAGUAGCUCCCACGAUCACACAGGAGUUAUGGGGCUUUUCUACAUUUUGGUUGCAGACAGGGUGCCCGAGUCCAGUUCAUUCUUAGAUGUUUUCAACAAGGUAAGAUUCCCUUUUCAUAUUUUUAGAUAGUGAGUUCAGCAAUACAAUUUAUUAUGCUUGUGAGCACAUGCGAAGAUACCGGAGAGCAAAAAACUUAUUCUAGAAUUGAGGAGGAAUAUUGUCUUACCUCUUUGAUUAUCGAAAUGGUAUAGAGAAUGGAUUAUAGACAGUCGUUUUGAUUAGUGUUGGUGAGAAGAUUAUUAUUUGCUGGAGUAGAAACUGUUUAAUAUGAUUCUUAGGCGAUAAUAGAACUAUAAUCCUCUUCUUGAUUUUAGCAAGAAACACCAAGCCUCUGAUAACUGCCUGGUUUUUGCAGAUGUACAAUGAUAUAAACCAUUCUGCUUUUGUUUGGGGAGCGUUUGUUUUAGCCGGAGUUGCUAUCAUUGCUGCUGCUGUGGGUUACUGGCGUAGGAAUAAGUACGAAGAUGGAUACCAACCAAUUAUGAUCUGAACUUGUUCUUAUGAGGCUUAGCCAUGUGUAUUAGACAGAAAUAAUGUUAGCUCUGUAUCAUAUGUUCUGAAACUCUCGUUUCCCUUUGCUAGAUGAGCGUGAAUAAACAGAUGAGCGUGAAUAAACCCGGGAGACUCACAGUCUUGCCCAAUAUUAUUUCUAUUACUGUUGUUAGUAAUUGGAACUGAGUGAUUAAUGUGAGCCUCUGUUGGACUUUAUGGCCAUUUCUUUCAUUUUCUCUACGACUCCUGUAGCUGCUUGUGUUCAACGCUAUUUUCACAUUUGUAAGGGACCUGUCCAAAAUUCAAAGCAUUAUUGGGUCGCUAUUUCCUGUGGCAGCUGCCAAGUUUGAGUAUCUUCGACUUAGAGGAACCACAUAUGUUACUUUUUUUUGAAAAAAAAAUUCAUUUCAUGUUUUUAGUCUGCAUGUGUGUUAUUUAAUAAUAAUCGUUGAAAGAACUGUUUUAAAUAUUUUACUUCAUCAUAGUUUCUCCUACAAUUAUGGAUCUCUGUUUCCUAGUUUUCCCCUUCUCAAACGAUCUAUAUACACGGUAAGCUCAAAGUAUGCAUGCUUCGUCAUAUAUUUAACACAAGUGUGCAUAUUGCAACUAAUAUUUUGGGAUGCAUCACACAAUAAUUUUACAAUAUAUCCAUCGUGCUUUGUGACAUUACCUUUGACUUUAUCAAUUGCAUUGUUACCAGAGAUAGUGCAUUAUUAACUAUGAUACUGUAAAGAAUUCAAUUUGAAAUCAAAUUAACAAUCGACAAUGAAUCAUAAUAUGGUCAAAUAAAAAAUAAAGAGAUACGUACUAGCUUUGAAAUGGGAAAAUAAAUAAUGAACGAAUGAUUUAGUUUUUUUUUUUCCAAAUUCUCUUUUAUGUUUAUUACUGUUGGGUUGCCCCUCUGGAAAAAUUCAUAGGUCCGGUUCAGAAAUGCAAAAUACAAUAGUAAUCACAUGGGGGUUUAAUGCAAAUAUGCAGUGAAGGAGGCACUAUGCAGAUUGUCAAUGAAUAAUGGGAAGAUGAAAUUUACGUAUAAAGGUGAACUAUUGGCACCCUUUGCGUAUCUUUUGAAACCCCUUUUCUUUAUCUAUCUCAUUAUAAUUAUUUGAAAAUUAUAAAACUCUCAUGGCAUCGUUUUAGUUUAAAAAAUAACCUUAAUUUCUUGUUGAGUUUACACCCCCUUCUUUCUCUUCACAUCUCUCUCCCCCUCAUUUGCUUACCAUUCUUUCCUCUCUCUUUCUCUUCCACUAUGAGUUCUCUCCGUCGUCAACUCUUUUUAUGGUGAUGAACAAAUUGGACUUUAUGACCAUAACAUUAUAAUUAUUAAUAUAUAUAUAUAUAUAUAUAAUAAUAAUAAUAAUAAUAAUAAAGAUUCAAUGAGAAUGAUGCAAUUGAUUGGUAUUCUUGAUUUUUUUUUUUUUGCUUCUUUAACUAAACUUAAAAGUUUCAUUACUAACCACAACAACAAUAUGAAAGAAAUUAGAAUGUUGCCGAAUUUAUUUUUUGUAAUUGUUUUAUUUUUCUAAAUUAAUUCGGAUGGGGACGAAGGCAAAUGGAAGAGAACAAUAAAAAUCAUUGGCUCUGAAAAUAUUUUUCUGUAGGAUGCCCUGCCUUCUGAAACCUCCUCAACGUUAAAUCUAUAUAUAUAUAUAUAUAUAUAUAUAUAUAGAGUCAGAGUUCAAAUUUUGUGCUUUAACUGCCGUUGCUUUGUGGAAGUCAUUUCUCCGCACCCCCUUCAUUUCUCCUUCGCAUAUCCACCUCCUGCCUUCAAGUGAUUUUUGUGGGACCAAAAUCUAAUUGUUUCAUUUUUUUUUAAAUUAUCCUCGUUCAAAUCAUAAUUAAUUUUUAUUAUUUUAAAUUUUAUUAUUUUUAUUAAAUUUUAUUAAUUUAGUUAUUAUUAAUUAUUGUUAUUAUUAUUUUUAUUAAUAUUAUCAUUAUUAACAAUUAUUGUUAUUAUUAUUGUCAAAAUUUAUUAAUUUUAUUAUUUUAAAUGUCAUUAUUAUUAUUAACUUUAUUAUUUUAGUUAUUAUUAAUUAUUGUUGUUAUUAUUUUAUUAAUAUUAUCAUUAUUAACAAUUAUUAUUAUUAUUAUUAUUGUUAUUGUUAUUAUCAUUAUUAUCAAAAUUUAUUAUUUUAAAUGUCAUUAUUAUUAUUAUUAUUAUUGACUUUAUUAUUUUAGUUAUUAUUAAUUGUUAUUAUUAUCAUUAUUAACAAUUUAUUAUUAUUAUUAUCAUUAUUAUUAUCAAAAUUUAUUAAAUUUAUUAUUUUAAAUGUCAUUAUAUUAUUAUUAUUAUUAUUGACUAUAUUAUUUUAGUUAUUAUUAAUUAUUUUUAUUUUUAUUAUUAUCAUUAUUAACAAUUUAUUAUUAUUAUUAUUAUUAUUAUUAUUAUUAUUAUUAUUAUUAUCAUCAUCAUCAAAAUUUAUUAAAUAUAUUAUUUUAAAUAUCAUUAUUAUUAUUAUUGACUAUAUUAUUUUAGUUAUUAUUUUUAUUUUUAUUAAUAUUAUCAUUAUUAACAUUUAUUAUUAUUAUUAAUUUUAUUUUUUUAAUUAAUAGCAUUUUUAUAAUAAUAUUUAUACAUGUAUCUAGUUGAUGAAAAUUGCAUUAUUUAAUACUAUGGAUAUUUUGGUAAAUUGAUUCUCAUUUCUAUUCCGCAUUCCCAUUUAUUUUGUCAAGUAAACACAUCAAUGACAUUCCAGCACAUUUCUAUUUCUAUUUAUUUUUGGCAAUCAAACAUUUCAUCUCAUUUUCAUUCCUCAUUCUCAUUCUAUGAAAUAAACGAACCAUUAUUUCUUAAUUUUUCAUUUCCGUCAAAUUUCUAAUUCAGUUAGUCACACAAAUAAAAUUACUUACUUGAAAAUCACUCCCAAAUGUACAAUGAACUUAUUUGUAGGAGCUGGCUGAGUUACAUAUUCUGUAACUUACAGAUCCAACUCCUAUUGCCUGCAUUUACACAGUUUUUCUCUCUCCUCAGGACACGUGUGUUGCUUCCCAUUGGGUGUGUACGUUACAGAUUCUGUAACGUAGGUUGGUCCCUUAUUUGUAAUGUUGUCUAUUAUUAUAGUUUAUCACUAUUAUUCCUAUCAAUCUGAGACUCUCCGUAGCACGCAACUCCCAACCGAUUUAUUUAAACGUGCUGCCAAACAACGACUCGCAUAAGAUAAAGGGAAGAACAAUCAAGAAUCAUCACUCCAUUAUCUAAUUUUUCAUGCCGUAGCCAGAACGCUUUACUAAGUAGCGACUUAAGGUCGAUGGAAGAACAAUCAAGCUGAUAUGACUAGUUUGUCAUUAUUGCUUUUCUUGACUACCACAAGAUCUAUAUCGAGGGAGGUGCUACCUUAAAUUUAAGGUACAGCUCUCUCUAAGAACCACUGCUGUAGGGAGAGUUGUACCUUAAGAUAAACUUAAGGUAGGCAAAACCUUUUGUCGGUGUCUCCAACUUUCAAUUUCUUCAACAUUUAGCUUUCCUGGAAGCAAUUAUACACACUCUACUGAUGCGACAAAAGGUGCCAAAAAAAAAAAAAAAAACUGCCCGUUGCGUCACUGCUUAGGUCAUUCUAAACCUUCAGUUCUCUGUCUGUAGUCUAUCACUUGGUGCAAAAUAGUCAAGUUCUCACGUUUUAGACGGCACGUUAAUCGGACACGCGGCUGAUCCUGUCCUUAACAGGCCAUUUUUAUUAGGCCACCUACCUUAUUACAAUGAAUGUAAAGUAUAUCUUCUUACAAAUUGAGUUGUAGGACUCAUUUGGACCCACAGCCAAUAAAGAGGAUGUACCUUACAAUCAUUGUAAGGUAGCAGCUCCCUAUUAUAUUAGUUACUUCAUUUGUGAAUGUAAUGAGAAAGAACUAAGGCGACGCACCCUCGCAGGAGCUGAAACUUUCAGUCUAUCACAGUCUGAAAAGGCCGUUGACCAUGCAAUCUGCGUACGUUGUUUGUUCUCAAAUUUGAUCGUUUGUUUUCAUUUUUCGUUCAUGUCAAGUUUCUGUAUUUGUACACAAUUAAAUGAUCACUCAUUCGCAGGUUUUGCUUUUACCUGACGCUCUUCAAUAGUUUUAUUCACUCUAGUAUUUGCGAUAUAUCUUUCUGCUUGAUGACCCAAGUUGCAUGUGAACGGAUUAGCUAUUCAUUUUACUUUGUUAAUCAGUCAAAUAUCAUAGACCCCAUCUGUUAUUACAGCAGUGAUUGCUAGGAACAGUUGAGAGUCUUUUCAAACUUUUCCAAACAUGUGUCCAAAUAGAUUGAGCUUGUACGUGAGAUAGCUGGAUUUUAUUUGCUUACAAACCUUUUUUGGGAUUAUUUAAAAAUUACAAUUACUGAUCUGGUUUCGGAUACACGAGAGUUUUUUGCUAUUAUCCAAUUUAUUUUGGUUGGAGCACGUUUUAACUGACACAAAGCCGGAAAUACCAGUUCAAUCUCAGUAACCUCUAUAAUUUGUCUCAAAUACAUUGUGUUUAGUUAUUCAUGUUCUUGGAUUUCCAAUUUCAUUUAUGGCUUAACUGAUAUAAGAAAGCUGACAGGGAUAUGAGAAAUUUUUCUCAAGGAUGGAAGAUUCUGGUAGCCAUUUUUCUGUUGGGAUUAAGCUUUCCAUACUCACAAGGUUAUAAUGUCAAAUCUAAAGUCUUUUUGUCACCUAAGUUUGUGCUGGGGCCAGGAUCCGUUGAGAAUAAAUUUUACUAUGGGAUUGACUUUCCGAGAGGUCAUAUUGCUCUAAAGAGUUUUAAUGCAGAAGUAAUUGAUGAGGCAGGAAAUCCCGUUCCUCUUCACGAGACUUAUCUCCACCAUUGGGCCGUUCAAAAAUACUAUGGACGUAAAGAUGCAGAAUUACUAGAGUAUAAUGGCAACAGACUUCUUCGUGAAUCAGAUUACAUUUCAGCGAGAAAUGAUGGCAUAUGCCAGACGAAUAUUCUUGAGCAGGAUUUUGGCCUUGGCUCUGAGACGCGAGGAACGGCAACGCAUAUUCCAGAUCCUUAUGGAUUAGAAAUUGGCAAUCCUGCUACAAUUCCUGCAGGCUAUGAAGAGAGAUGGUUUCUUAAUGUCCAUGCAAUUGAUACACGAGGUGUCGAAGAUAGGUUGGGAUGCACCGAAUGCAAGUGCGAUUUGUACAAUGUUACAUUGGAUGAGUAUGGCCAGCCACUAAAGCCAAAUUACAGAGGUGGUUUAGCGUGUUGUUACGAUGGUACGCAGUGUAGAUUGUCAAACGGUUUUGAAGGUGCCAGGAGGAGCCUCUAUUUGAGAUAUACCGUAAAGUGGGUUGAUUGGGACACUUCCAUUGUGCCUGUUAAAAUCUACAUAUUUGAUGUCACUGACAAGGAAACACGGUUUAGUGAUUCCACUGGAUUCAGCAUACAGCAUCAUUGCCAGGUAAGU
Molecule: long non-coding RNA, 8120 nt
Filed under: Citrus maxima (pomelo)
Lineage: Eukaryota; Viridiplantae; Streptophyta; Magnoliopsida; Sapindales; Rutaceae
Description: long non-coding RNA (CMAX_LNC003090)
Source: RNAcentral